UUUAAACAGCCUCUAGGUUGUUUUCCUACUGUGAUCUGGAGUCUACUUGAGUCAGAAGGGCUGAAAUACAGUGUUGGCAGCAUGUAGGUUUUGAUCCACUCAUCUCACUGGUGAUGUCCACCUCUUCCUAUGAAACGCUGAAGCAAUAUAUUCUUGCUCAUGGUUUUCUUAAGCGUCUGAAGAGCUUUGAGGCCUCCCUGGCAGAUAACCCUGAUAGUAAGAAAAAAGCUGAUUCCCUGCCUUUCUAUCUCUGACCUGAGAGAACAAGAAGCCCAAGAUAACUAUCAGCUUGAAUACUGGCAUUAAACUUUAAGGCCACCUUCUUCAAGCUACAGUUGAUGUUGCCUCAAGGUACUGGAGGACAUUGUGUGCUGCCACCUCCAAAGAAUCGAGUGGCUUAUUAUAGUGAUGAAAAGCCGUUGGCAGAAAAAGAAAUCUGUCC
Nothoprocta perdicaria is the source of this 442-nucleotide long non-coding RNA. RefSeq lists it as uncharacterized. Lineage: Eukaryota; Metazoa; Chordata; Aves; Tinamiformes; Tinamidae. The record is from RefSeq and is a predicted model, not a curated record. The transcript is spliced from 4 exons.